Molecule: long non-coding RNA, 1820 nt
Organism: Leucoraja erinaceus (little skate)
Lineage: Eukaryota; Metazoa; Chordata; Chondrichthyes; Rajiformes; Rajidae
Exons: 2
Source: RefSeq, a predicted model, not a curated record
CCCGCCCCGCCCUCCCCUCGCGGCUCGGCUCGGCUCGAGAGUCAGGGCCACAGGUCAGGUCAGCACCGAGAGCGCCCGAGUACCUCGGCGGGACGGACAGCAGCAUCUCCGGACAGAAGGAAGUACGUGACAGUUUCGGGAUCCAGACCCUCGCAUCAGUUCCCGCGGUGUGUGAGCUCCGGCGGAUAGACACAAGUGCAGCUCUGCCGGAGUUGGUGGCCUUUGCUGGAGACCGACUUCGAGAGUUCCACCACGGGAGCCUGCGGACUUAACAUCACGAAGCUCGCAAUCCCUGUCGGGGAUCGACUUUGGGGAACCAACUGCGCGAGCAUGUGGAUUUUAACAUCGCGGAGCUCAUGGUCUCAGAUUAGAGACCGACUUUGGGAACUACAAGCCACAGGAGCUUCGACCGCCCUGACGCAGGGGCUUCGACCGUCGACUGCGGGAACUUUGAUCGGCCCGACGGAUGGUUCAACUGCCCCGACCACAGGAGAAUAAAGGAGGAAGAAGAUUGGACUUUAUUGCCUUCCAUCACAGUGAGGAACGUGGGGAAUCCGCUGUGGUGGAUGUUUAUGUUAACUUUCAUGUAGUUGUGUGUCUUGCUGCUUUUUUUUUAGUAUGGCUGUAUGGUAAUUCAAAUUUCACUGUACCUUAAUUGGUACACGUGACAAACUGGGCUUGAGAUCUUGAAACCUUGACCAUGAAUUAGUAUGUAUUACCUUUCUCACAUUUAAACCUCUCCCAUCCAGAACAAGGGUAGAGUUCAUUUGCAUCAGCCUCCACAUUGAACAGAUCAUCCUCAGUAAUAACCAACAUCUUUAAUAUGAUGCUAUCACCAGAUACAUCUUCCCCCCCCCUUCUUUUUCAGUAUUACAAAGGGAUUGUUCUCUUUCUUAAAAUAUCUUCCAGUGCAGCUACAAGAGAUUUUACCUCUUUCCUUUGACCAUUCGAGGAUCCUGUACCUUCUUUCCCGAGGGAGCAACAGUUUACUUGGAGUGUAUCCAAUAUAGCAUAAUUGUACAUGUAGUACUGACAAUGUGGUCUCCUUUAUAUCAAGAAAACAAAUGUACAUAGAUUGAAUGACUGCAUUGCAGAACACCUUCAUGCAAUCUGUCAGCUUUGUUUUAAUUUUCUAUCCCACUCUUCUGGUUGUCAGUCCUAGUUUUCCUUUCCACGCCCUCUCUGGCCUCCUACUUUGUACCAAGAAUCACAAUAUAAAUCCGAGAAACAACAGUUGAUCUAAGUCGCCACAGGACAACAUUUUGGACUUGACACCGAAUUCAAUGAUUUCAGAUGAUCAGCCACCUGUUUUAUAUCUCACAUUUUCAGCAUUAUCUUUCUCUCUUUUUCCUCCGAUAUACACCUCCACAGAGCCAAGCAUACCUUUUGUCAUUAAUCAGCUUUAAUAACCCUCUUCAGCUGUGCCAUCAACAUUUAUAUAAUUGAAUCUCCACCUGCACCCUAUUACUGAUUUUCCCUUUUAUUCCCUUUACCUCUCACCAGCAUAUUUGCAAAUUAACUUUAUUUACCUUUCAAUUUCACACUUCUGAUGGAGUCUCUCUAACUCUGUUUCUCCUCCCACAGAUGCUUCUUGACCUGCCAAGUUAUUCCAACAUUUAUUGUUUAAGAUUCCAAGUAAAUGGACAUCCAUAUAAUUGUAUGAACUUUUAGGAGCAGGAGUAGGCCCCUCAGCAACUUGAGCCUGUUGCAUUAUUUUAAAAAGGUAGUAGCUGAUCCAAAUGUAACCUCAGCAUUCCAUUCUAUUCUCUGUAACCUUUCAACCUUGUGCAAUUUUACGCAAUAAAAUAUUCUAGGUGGUG